Molecule: ribosomal RNA, 486 nt
Filed under: Candidatus Planktophila sp.
Lineage: Bacteria; Bacillati; Actinomycetota; Actinomycetes; Candidatus Nanopelagicales; Candidatus Nanopelagicaceae
Description: bacterial SSU rRNA
Rfam family: Bacterial small subunit ribosomal RNA
Source: RNAcentral
UCUAUGGAGAGUUUGAUCCUGGCUCAGGACGAACGCUGGCGGCGUGCUUUACACAUGCAAGUCGAGCGAUGAGAUCCCUUCGGGGAUGGAUUAGCGGCGAACGGGUGAGGAACACGUAAGGAAUCUACCUUCAACACUGGGAUAACUCCGGGAAACCGGGGCUAAUACCGGAUACGAGAACCGCAGGCAUCUGUGGCUCUGGAAAGUUUUUCGGUUGAAGAUGACCUUGCGGCCUAUCAGCUUGUUGGUGAGGUAAUGGCUCACCAAGGCGACGACGGGUAGCCGGCCUGAGAGGGCGACCGGCCACACUGGGACUGAGACACGGCCCAGACUCCUACGGGAGGCAGCAGUGGGGAAUAUUGGGCAAUGGAGGAAACUCUGACCCAGCGACGCCGCGUGCGGGAAGAAGGCCUUCGGGUUGUAAACCGCUUUCAGCAGGGAAGAAGCGAAAGUGACGGUACCUGCAGAAGAAGCACCGGCUAACUA